RNAcentral lists this antisense RNA (75 nucleotides) under Streptomyces sp. TLI_053. RNAcentral describes it as "ASpks TB sRNA". It matches the Rfam family "ASpks TB sRNA". The record is from RNAcentral. Lineage: Bacteria; Bacillati; Actinomycetota; Actinomycetes; Kitasatosporales; Streptomycetaceae.
CUUCAACGAGCCCAGCCACAGCGGUCGUUCGGCGGGCCGGCCCCGGCCGUAGGUGGCCAGCAGGGCCUGCGCCUC